CCUUGACAUACUAAGAACUUUCCAGAGAUGGAUUGGUGCCUUCGGGAACUUAGAUACAGGUGCUGCAUGGCUGUCGUCAGCUCGUGUCGUGAGAUGUUGGGUUAAGUCCCGCAACGAGCGCAACCCUUUUCCUUAUUUGCCAGCGGGUCAUGCCGGGAACUUUAAGGAUACUGCCAGUGACAAACUGGAGGAAGGCGGGGACGACGUCAAGUCAUCAUGGCCCUUACGGCCAGGGCUACACACGUGCUACAAUGGUCGGUACAAAGGGUUGCUACCUCGCGAGAGGAUGCUAAUCUCAAAAAGCCGAUCGUAGUCCGGAUCGCAGUCUGCAACUCGACUGCGUGAAGUCGGAAUCGCUAGUAAUCGCGGAUCAGAAUGCCGCAGUGAAUACGUUCCCGGGCCUUGUACACACCGCCCGUCACACCAUGGGAGUUUGUUGCACCAGAAGUAGGUAGUCUAACCGCAAGGAGGACGCUUACCACGGUGUGGCCGAUGACUGGGGUGAAGUCGUAACAAGGUAGGCGUAGAUGA
This 531-nucleotide ribosomal RNA is filed under the name uncultured bacterium. Its description in RNAcentral is "bacterial SSU rRNA". It matches the Rfam family "Bacterial small subunit ribosomal RNA", at positions 979 to 1509 of the family's 1533-position model. The record is from RNAcentral.